UCUUGGGUUGUUGGAAGGAAUCUCCCAAGAAUUCGAGUUGAAAUUUGAAGAUUUACCUAGGUAGGCCCAGUUUUCGGGUAAUUUAAGCUAGGGGUGAAGAUUGAAGAUUUUUGGGCAGUAAGAAGAAUCUGAAGCUCAAAUUUUAGGGUAAGCAAGUUAAGACAUUUAUAAACAAGUUUGAAGAAGGAAAUUUUUUGAAAUAAGUCUAGAAAAAGAGUUAUACGAGCUCAAAGUUGAAUUUGGAAAUUUUGGUUGAUUAAAUAGGCAGCUGCUUUAGUUGAGUAAGCAGGCAGCUCGACUCAGGCAGAGGUGCUGUGGAUGUGCGUGCGAGGACAAGGCGUUGCGCCAAGCAUGCGUGCAAGGGUUGCGUUGUGGGGUGCAAGGCGUUGUGGUGUGCAAAAAGACGUGCGUAGCUGUGUUGAUGAGCGAGCGUUGACGCUUAAGCAAGGUGCGCAAUGCGUGGGCUUGUGAGUGAGGUCUAGCACAAGGAGUGAGCGCUUGCUGCCGCAUCACUUAGCCAUUUGACCUAAGGAUAAACGCCAAUAGGGAAGGCCUAUCAACUCUAGGAAAGACUUCUAAACUUGUAGCGGUCAAUUCCCUAGAAGAUAACUGCACUAUUGCUCUGCCACUCAAAGCCAAGCUAGACGUUAAAGGAAGAUUAAAUGUUUAUCUUGGCUAUGUCUGUGUUAAUGUUAUGUUCAUAUUUAGGGAUUAAGGAAGAGUAUUGGGGCCCACUGAGUUUUGUUUCUGUAAAUAUGUUGCGUGUGCAUUAUGAUCGGAACCCUGGUUACUCAGGUUAA
Benincasa hispida (wax gourd) is the source of this 800-nucleotide long non-coding RNA. RefSeq lists it as uncharacterized. NCBI's taxonomy places the organism in Eukaryota, Viridiplantae, Streptophyta, Magnoliopsida, Cucurbitales, Cucurbitaceae. The record is from RefSeq and is a predicted model, not a curated record.